GCUAGCUCUGUUUUCUGUGCUCUGCUAUCUUUUUGCUCUGUUUCUCUAGGUGCUCCGUUUUUCACCGGCUCUGUUUCUCUACUUGUUAUGUGCUACUCUGCUUGACCCUUAAAAAUGGAUCAGAUGUUUCUCUCUGACCCUGAGAGCAUCAUCAUUGCUAGAUCUAGUCGGCGAAAAAAAAAACUGAAACCUUUCCUCCAUUUAUCA
Long non-coding RNA from Arabidopsis thaliana (thale cress), 207 nucleotides. RefSeq annotates it as other RNA. Lineage: Eukaryota; Viridiplantae; Streptophyta; Magnoliopsida; Brassicales; Brassicaceae. The record is from RefSeq. The transcript has a single exon.